Molecule: transfer RNA, 68 nt
Filed under: Atkinsoniella curvata
Lineage: Eukaryota; Metazoa; Arthropoda; Insecta; Hemiptera; Cicadellidae
Description: tRNA-Arg
Source: RNAcentral
UAGUAAGAAGUAAAAAUAAUUACAUUUAGUUUCGACCUAAAAUAAAGGGACUAAUAACCCCUUACUUU